Molecule: long non-coding RNA, 513 nt
Organism: Portunus trituberculatus (swimming crab)
Lineage: Eukaryota; Metazoa; Arthropoda; Malacostraca; Decapoda; Portunidae
Exons: 2
Source: RefSeq, a predicted model, not a curated record
AGAGAGAGAGAGAGAGAGAGAGAGAGAGAGAGAGAGAGAGAGAGAGAGCAUGACCAGCUGAGUCAAUGUAUUGUUCCCAUCACGUCCCACCUCCGCGCCAAGCCUCAUUUGUGUAGCUGCUUGCCGCUGGAGUCAGUAAUCGAGUCCUUUAUCUUGAUCGACACGUUUCCUCUGGCCUUAGUUUGGAGCGGACGAGAAAAAGUUAGUUGGACGUCAGUUAUUGGUGCAUACCCCGAGUGGGGCCGCUGCCAAAUGAGGGUCUGAGUGCCGGGAGAACCGCGCCCGCCACCACCAGUUGUUCUUCGCUUCUCACACAGACGGGACGCAACCAUGAGAAAUAAGGCGCUAUUGUCGCUGCUGCUGGCCAUGAUGGUCUUCAUGGCCCGCACCUCAGCCUGGGACAUGUUUGGUGACGACGAUGAUGAUGAUAAUGAUGAUGAUAACGACGAUGAUGAUGAUGAUGAUGAUGAUGAUGAUGAUGAUGAUGAUGAUGAUGAUGAUGACGACGACGAC